This is a long non-coding RNA of Vicia villosa (hairy vetch), 1374 nucleotides long. RefSeq lists it as uncharacterized. The record is from RefSeq and is a predicted model, not a curated record. NCBI's taxonomy places the organism in Eukaryota, Viridiplantae, Streptophyta, Magnoliopsida, Fabales, Fabaceae. The transcript is spliced from 3 exons.
GGUACGUGUGGCCAUUCAGAUUCAACUCUUAGCUCUCUCUUUACGAAGUCACCGGAGCGGCUGCCGGGAAUCGCUCACGGCGGUGCUCGUUCAUGAAUCUCCACAUUCAGCACACCGCCGGUGUCGAACUCUCGCCUUCUUUCUACUUCUAUGCUCUGUUUUCUCACACUCUCGAUAACCACUCUCAAUUCUACCGACGAAAAUAAACCCUAAACCUAAAGAGAAACAUUAAACGGCGGCGAGCAAUGUUAUGAAGCCACUUGCUUGGGGGAAACACUCAGGGACGUCUAAUCUAUGCACCGGUGACGAAAUGUCGAACUAAGAGCGAAGGAAUUGGACGUACUAACCUCGCGACGAAACUGAGCAACAUAUACCGAAAUCCAGACUCCGUGUUCUUGAUGUACACUGAAGGCGCGAAAUGAACGCGAUAAGCGGAGAACUUCUUCAGGGUUGGAUGAUGGAGCUUAUAGAUGCAAUUUGAUUGAAGGGAUUUUGGGCUAGCUGUAGCAGGGAUCUUGUUGAAUUUGCUAUGUUUAGGAUAUUUGGACGGGACUGUCAUGAAAGUCAAUUAUGGGAGGUUUGAAGUUAGAAUUUUUGAAUUCAAAAGCUGAAGGUUAGUUAUGGUUUAUACGAGUGAAGGUUAGGCUGUUAGUUUAAAUCUGUUAUUGUUAGGAAACUGUUAGGAAAUGGGUUUAAAGAAGUUUGUAAGGUUGAAUGGAGAUGAUUAUGAUGUUGUCGUGAAAGGUUUAAAAAAUGGUUUAGGUUUGAUUUAGGGACUGCUGUUUGGUAUGGUAUUCUGUAUGCUGAAUGGACUGGUUUUAUCACUUGAUAUUUUCCGACCCAAUUUCACAUUGCAGGAUCAUUUCAGUUCUGAAUUCUCUUGCAGGGCUGCAAUUUGGAAUAGAAGAAGUGCAGUUGGGUCAUUUGCUUUGUGGAUUUUCGAUUUGGUUUAGAUAGUUCAGCAAGUUUGGCUUAAGAUGUAAUGGCGGUUCAAGACGCAGGGUGUCUGUUUUUGGACUGUUUUAUUGAUGCUCUGAAUGCAUGUGUGUGCAGGUUGACCGAGCAUGGAACAGAUCUGAGUUGGCACUCGAUUGUUGUAGGAGCGGUUUCCGUAACAGCAACUUAUAGACACUGGAUCGUUGGGACAAGGCAAAUGGAAUUUGAUUUGAAUCAAGUUUUGUGGCUAUUUGGCUAUACUUUAGGAUAGGUGGUUUGUGGUUUGUAUCUGUAGUUUUUUUUUGUAUAUGUAGCAGAGGAUGGACAUGGUUUGUAAGUGGUAGUGAAUUGUACUUGAAAGUUUGAACUUGAAUUUGAAUGAAUGUAUUUGAACUAAUGAUGAACUUGAAUGGUAUUGUCUUGCAACUUUUGCACAAA